RNAcentral lists this ribosomal RNA (715 nucleotides) under uncultured Actinomycetes bacterium. Its description in RNAcentral is "bacterial SSU rRNA". It matches the Rfam family "Bacterial small subunit ribosomal RNA", at positions 723 to 1440 of the family's 1533-position model. The record is from RNAcentral. Lineage: Bacteria; Bacillati; Actinomycetota; Actinomycetes.
AGGUCUCUGGGCCAAUACUGACACUGAGGAGCGAAAGUCUGGGGAGCGAACAGGAUUAGAUACCCUGGUAGUCCAGACCGUAAACGGUGGGCACUAGUUGUGGGGACCUUCCACGGUUUCUGCGACGCAGCUAACGCAUUAAGUGCCCCGCCUGGGGAGUACGAUCGCAAGAUUAAAACUCAAAGGAAUUGACGGGGCCCCGCACAAGCAGCGGAGCAUGCGGCUUAAUUCGACGCAACGCGAAGAACCUUACCAAGGCUUGACAUAUAGGGAAAAGUGGCAGAGAUGUCAUGUCCGCAAGGGCCCUAUACAGGUGGUGCAUGGUUGUCGUCAGCUCGUGUCGUGAGAUGUUGGGUUAAGUCCCGCAACGAGCGCAACCCUCGUUCUGUGUUGCCAGCAUUUAGUUGGGGACUCACAGGAGACUGCCGGGGUUAACUCGGAGGAAGGUGGGGAUGACGUCAAAUCAUCAUGCCCCUUAUGUCUUGGGCUGCACGCAUGCUACAAUGGCCGGUACAGAGGGCUGCAAUACCGUAAGGUGGAGCGAAUCCCAAAAAGCCGGUCUCAGUUCGGAUUGAGGUCUGCAACUCGACCUCAUGAAGUUGGAGUUGCUAGUAAUCGUAGAUCAGCAACGCUACGGUGAAUACGUUCCCGGGGCUUGUACACACCGCCCGUCACGUCACGAAAGUCGGUAACACCCAAAGUCAGUGGCCCAACC